Long non-coding RNA from Xenopus laevis (African clawed frog), 628 nucleotides. RefSeq lists it as uncharacterized. NCBI's taxonomy places the organism in Eukaryota, Metazoa, Chordata, Amphibia, Anura, Pipidae. The record is from RefSeq and is a predicted model, not a curated record. The transcript is spliced from 3 exons.
CAGGGUGACACCCCAAUGUUUCUAUAUAUCUGUGACCUUGUUAUGAGACUUAUAUAAAUAUGUGUACAUAGCAGAGGUUGGACUAAUGAGUCUAGUACUGGAAGGGGUUAAAUCCCAGCAGAGAGACCAUACAUCACCCAAGUACUGGAAAUUGGCCAAUUAGAUUCAAGGCAGUUUAUCAAAUGAUUUUGUGGGGUUUCAAAGACUGUUAGAAGCUGUUGGGUCUCACCAGACAGACUCAUUGAUCUGCAGUAGAGGAUCAGCUGGAGGCACUUUGUAGAGUUGAGGAGUCAGAGAGAGGUUUUUAAAGUAAGACAGGAUGCAGGACGAUGAGAAGAUUUCCCACCUGGGGAGAUGUACUGCCUCCGACCUGCCAGAUGAGCCCUGGCCCACUAUGAUCACUAACACGGGAGUGAACGCCCCAAUUUCCUCUUUAAUGAAGCGGCGCAGGAAGUUGCCCAUCUGGUUCCGAUGGUUGAUGUUCAUUCACUGUGUGUCGGAGCAGGAGGGGGUCAAUGGCAGCACCUUGUCCUUCUCAUAACUGUAUACAUAUUUGUUGGUAUAUACUGUACUAUUCUAUUCGAAUUUCAUAAGCCGAUAAAGGCCAAAUAAAGCAAAUUAAGUUUUA